GCUGUCCCUAAGCCACAGGAUGCAGACCAACACAAAGAGUUCUCUCAGCUGGACGUUCCAACUGGAAUGUGACAUGAAGUUCUAAGAGGUUCAGUGACUUGUCCAAGAUUAAACAGCUAUGAAUGGAGAAGUGGAGUCAAAUGCCUCAUCAUCUCUCACCUGGGCAACUGCAACAAUGAGCAGCUUGUGUCUGUGCCUGCAUCCAUCCUUCCAUCCUGUUCUCCAGCAGCAGCCAGAGUGGUCUUUCAAAAAUGCAAAGCUGAUAAUGUUACUCCUCUGCUGUAAACCUUCCAGCGGCUUCCUAUUGCCUUCAGAAUAAAAUACGAAUCGUCUGGCCUCCAUCUAUCUCUCCAGGCUCAUCCUCUCUCAAUUUUCCAUAUCCUUCAGUAUCCUGAUGGGACAGACAGAUGAAGAACCAGAGUCCCAGAGAGGUUAAGUAGCUUGCCCAAGGUCACGCAGCAGUGUAAGCAGUACGGAUGAUUCUUAAGCCCAGAUUGUUUGACUUCCGAGACAUAUCAGAAAACUACGUCAAAGAACACGCACAACUCAGACCUAUUUCCAGUGGCCUAUGCAGAAGAGCUACCCUGCUUGAAUGGAAACCCCUUAAGAUAUACUAUUCUCAAAAACCUAAGUGCUUAGCCUGGCUUAUGGAGGAGGCAAUGCAAUCUACCACAAGAUGAUUAAGACAACAAUGAACUUAAAUCCCAGCCACUGCUGGAGAAUAUCUGCCUGUGAAUUCAAUUUGGUUCAAUUCAAUCCGA
Molecule: long non-coding RNA, 761 nt
Organism: Pongo pygmaeus (Bornean orangutan)
Lineage: Eukaryota; Metazoa; Chordata; Mammalia; Primates; Hominidae
Exons: 4
Source: RefSeq, a predicted model, not a curated record